Mytilus californianus (California mussel) is the source of this 2921-nucleotide long non-coding RNA. RefSeq lists it as uncharacterized. The transcript is spliced from 2 exons. NCBI's taxonomy places the organism in Eukaryota, Metazoa, Mollusca, Bivalvia, Mytilida, Mytilidae. The record is from RefSeq and is a predicted model, not a curated record.
CCCCCUAAACCAUAUAUAUUCUGGUUUGUCAUGCCAAGAUGAUUUGAAUGAUAUACAAGGUUAGUCCCCAGGCAUCACUAAUGCAUAUAACUUUACUGGACCAAACCAAUUUUCACUGGACAUUGCCCAAUGUCAGGCGACCCUUGGAAUUACGAAUUAUGGGAGCUUCGUUUGGGAGACUUCGUAACAGCAUCCUGUUACAAUCAUUUCUUGUUUCCCUUGAUGAUGUAUUUUAUGUACAGAUUUAGUUGUAUUUACAAUUUUUAAACAACAUUCCCACUUCCUUAUAUAUGAUAUUGCUUAGUAGCAUUCCCAAGAUUCCAAUGUUUAGAUAUUGCACAUUCCAUAGGUAUCAAAAUUUAGAGUUCAAUGAACAUUUAACCAAUUAAUAAAAUGAACUGUAUGUUGGAAAAUGAAAUAUUCUAAAGAAAUUAAAUUCCCAUUUUAGUUUACAGUAAGCUUUCUUUUAUUAAAAAAAUUCUGAUUUGAAAUGUUGAAAAAAUCUUUUGUUUGAUAUAUACAUGUAGAUUGUAAGAAAGAGGUGAGAAUUCUGAUAGAUUUUUUUAAUGUAAAAUAUAGUUUUUUUUCAGUUUUGAUGGUAUUUGUUGACAUAAUGUUGAUUCACAAUUUUUAUCUUCCAGAUUUAUUUUUUAAUUUCAUUGAUUGUUUGUUUAUGCAUAUGUUGUAUUUGUCAUUUUGUCCAUAAUAAUGGGAUCCUUUUAUUGGAUAGAAUUAAAUAAACAAUGUUUUUAAUGUACAGAUCAUGUUGUAACACUUUUUAUUGAAAUAUAAAUGGUAAUCUGUGUGAAAUUGUCAGACACAGCAAAAUAAACUGUUAGCUGUUAUGUUAUAAAAAUAAGGCAGGAGGGAAAAAAAAUUUGUAUGAUGAAUCUGUUGUAAAAAUAUGUUGUGUUAUAAAAAUAAGGCAGGAGUGGAAAACUUUUUGUAUGAUGAAUCUGUUGUAAAAAUAUAUAUAAUUUUAGUAUCUUUGAUUUAAUAGCUUAAGUUUUGUAUUGUGUUUUUUGUGUUUAAUGCAAUUUUUGUACAUUCAUACAAUUGAAUGGCUAAGUUUGUUUAUGUGAAACAGUUGGAAAUUUCAUCUAGAUCUUUUACAUAACUGUAGAUUGAGUAUACAUUAUUAAACAGGAAAGAUUUGUUUUCCAUUCAGUUAAAAACUUGUCUCAUUUCCAGAUCUUAUUACACAACUAUAUCAUGAAUUGGUUUGUCCUUGCAGCAUCUCAGUUUCUCAACUUAGAGAUGUUUGAACUCUGUCAUAGAUCCCAGAUAACUAAUAUUUUCCUUACUUUUGUAUUUGCUGCAGGAUGUUAUUUUUUGGAAUUAAAGUUGAUGAGUUUCCCUCAAAUCUUUAUGUUUUAAUACCUGAAAUUAUUGUAUUUUUAAAACAGACUUCAUUAUCUGUUCCUGUUGUCAUUUAAUUUGUUUAAAUGUAUAUAUGAUUUUUUUGCUUUGAUUUAUAGAAUUUUACUUUUUACAAAUGACAAAAAUGGCUCUAUUCUGUUGUAUGUAAUUUUAUACUAAGAAAGAAAAUUGCGAAGAAUAUUUAAUACAAAUAUUCAUAAGUACUCCAAGCAGCUGCAUUUACUUUUGGCAUGUUUGUGCCAAUUUUUGAGUUUAGUGUUAGUGUUUUGGUUAGGUUUAUUAUUGGUUGUACAUUUAAGUUUAUUUGAGAAGAUUAGGACAAUAUUAAUUUUAUUUUAAGGUUAAAUUAGAAAUAAUAUGUUCAGAUAAUUAAUGCUUGUUGGAUUGUGGUUUUUAGUAAAGGUGCAUGCAUUAAAUGUUCAGCAAUCAGUUACUGUGUGAUGUGGCUUGAAUUAAAUGUUCAGCAAUCAGUUACUGUGUGAUGUGGCAUGAAUUAAAUGUUCAGUUAUCAGUUACUGUGUGAUGUGGCAUGAAUUCAAUAAAUAUUUGCAAUUUUAGUGAUAUUGGUUGUAAAUUUACAGUCGUGCAAAUGCACAGUUGUAUAUUCAUACCAGGAAUGUGUUUAUGAAGAUUGUUUAUACUUAAAUUUGCCACUUUUUUUUUUACAUAGAUCAGAAUCCUAUAAUCUUAGGGUACUUAAACUUUAUUGAUAUUUUUUGUUUACAUGUAUGGAAUGUAUGACAAUUUUAGAGACAGUUAUUUAAUAAAAACUGGAGUAUAUGUCCUCCAUCCUGAAUUCUUAAUCUAAAGAAUUUAUGGCUUAAUUUUUUUUUAUUUGACUUGAGUGAAGGGAAUUGGUUAGCCUACAUAUGUCAACUUUCAGUCAAAAUCAGUCUAAUAUUACUUACUUAUCCUAUUAUUGAAAUUUUCUCACCAUCCCUAAUUAUCUCUCUUCCACUUCUCACUUAAAUUUUUGUAAAUUUCCCUCUUCGAAUCUCAUUUGUACCUUUCAGCUGAUUUUUUAUUCAUAUGUAUGAAUUGAUUAAUUUUGGAUAAUUACCCCUUUGAAUCUCCCAUUUUGCCCUCCGUUAACAUUUACCUUAAGAAUCUCCUUUCUAUAUAAUUAUCAAUUGAAUUCUGUUAUUUUCAUUUAUAUUUUCAACCUCUUAGAACAUAAACAGCUAAUAGAAAAGAUUCUUUAAAUGCAAGAAUUCAUAUCAGUUAAAAUAUGAAGUAGCAAUAAUGCAUCUGUAUUUUGUAAUGAAGAGAAGAUGACUUAGAAUAUUAUGAAGAUGGUGUGACAGAAGUGUGAAGCGAAGGGUAACUUGGACUUCCUCCCUUAAGUUCUAUUUUACAAGGCUAGUCAUUAUACCACUUAGUAGUCUAUAAACACAAAUGUUGUUAUUCAAACUUAUUUGGAAUAUCCUGUAUCAGUAAAAUGGGAUACAAACUUGUUUUCAUUUAAUGUUUUAUAGAAUUUAUGCUUUUUGUGCUUCAAAAAUGUGUAUAGAUUUGAUCUGCAAAUAAAGUUUAACAUUUUA